This 389-nucleotide ribosomal RNA is filed under the name uncultured soil bacterium. RNAcentral describes it as "bacterial SSU rRNA". It matches the Rfam family "Bacterial small subunit ribosomal RNA", at positions 26 to 442 of the family's 1533-position model. The record is from RNAcentral.
AGAACGAACGCUGGCGGCAUGCCUAAUACAUGCAAGUCGAACGAACUCUUCGGAGUUAGUGGCGCACGGGUGCGUAACGCGUGGGAAUCUGCCCUUGGGUUCGGAAUAACAGUUGGAAACGACUGCUAAUACCGGAUGAUGACGAAAGUCCAAAGAUUUAUCGCCCAGGGAUGAGCCCGCGUAGGAUUAGCUAGUUGGUGAGGUAAAGGCUCACCAAGGCGACGAUCCUAGCUGGUCUGAGAGGAUGAUCAGCCACACUGGGACUGAGACACGGCCAGACUCCGUACGGGAGGCAGCAGUAAGGGAAUAUUAGGACAAGUGGACGAAAGCCUGAUCAGACAAUCGCCGCGUGAGUGAUGAAGUCUUAGGGUGUAAAGCUCUUUACCGAG